AGCUCCUGAAUUAUCAAGUCCCUUACCAGUAGAAACACCAACACCAGAAUAUUCAACACCUCUAUUCACAGCAACAGCUUCUGAAUUCUCAAUUCCCUUACCAGUAGUAACACCAACACCUGAAUAUUUAACACCUAUAAUGCCAGGAAAGUCCUUAUGUAGCGGGGCCAUUUCUAGUACUUAUGGAGCUAUUAGAAACCCCCCAAAUAUUGAAAUGAAAGACAACUUAACAUGUGUGUGGGAGAUCAAAGCAAACGUAUCUGAUCAUAUAAAGCUGGCAUUUCCUUU
Molecule: long non-coding RNA, 288 nt
Organism: Ornithorhynchus anatinus (platypus)
Lineage: Eukaryota; Metazoa; Chordata; Mammalia; Monotremata; Ornithorhynchidae
Exons: 3
Source: RefSeq, a predicted model, not a curated record